GCCUAACCAGCCAUAUUAAUGAUACCAUUCAUCCUUUAAAUCACCCAGAAAUUUUUUCUUGAGUUAUGUUCAUUACCGGAAUUAAUACUAUAUUUGAAUCCAAAUAAAAUUGGGUUUGGCGCUGGUCCUUGUAGACACGUGAUUUUGUCCUCUUAAAGUUUAAUUUUAUUCACUUUUAUCCAUUUUUACUUUAUCCUACUGUGUACCCUCAUCUACGUGAUUAUACCCCCAUAAAAAUACAAAAAUAACAAAUUUCCUAACAAAUUCUAUCCUAUCCUAACCCCAUUUACAACUCAUUUUAACAACCUACCCAAUUAAAAUAAACUACCUCACCACCUCAUCCACCCACCUACCCACGUGACCCUUCUCCCUACCUUUCUUUCUUAGUUUACAAGUUUUCUUGCAAUUGGAUUAUAUAGAAAAAGAAAACAACAAAAGAGGGGGCCCCACAGAAUAAUCCUCAAGCAAAAAGAAUUCUCCAUUUAUCCGUUGAGGGAGAUGGGGCAUCGAGGGUGAGCUGUAAGGUGAGAGGCAGAGAGAUUUUCAGAAAAAAAAAAAAGAGUGAACCAGAGACGCCAUUCUUCGUGCUCUCUUCUUUCUUCCUUUUGCAACACACACAAUUCUCACUCACCUUCACUCAUAAGACACACUCACAGAUCAUAUUCACACAACACUACAAAGCACACAGACGUAAAAAGGGGAAGAAGAAAGCCGCGAGUGAGCUCAAGAGGGCCAAAACAGUGAGAAAAAGGAUUAAAAAAAUGGACUGAACAUCGUCGAUCUCCGAUUGGAACAGUGAAUCUAUGAGAAAUCCGGUCAUCAUCGAGAUUUACCGGUGAUACUAUCGCCGGAAUCAAUUUUCGUAUAUUGAUUUGGCCGAUCAGUCUAAAAAUUCCCAAAAUCCCUUCGUUCCUCUUGAUUUCUGGGUUUAUCCGGUCGAAAUCUUCGAGAUUCGCCGAAAUCAAAUCUGCGCCUACGAUUCUCGCCGCCUUCUGAGCUCGUCGGAGCUCCGGCCUACGAAAGGGUGAAACCGAAGUCGGGAGUUCAUCUUCGGAGGUUGUGUUCUAGGUUUUCAGACGUAGACUCUCUUUAUUCAAAUAACAUUGAUUUUGAAAGCUCCGUCUUGAGGUCCAACUCUAUUCUCUUUCUCUUUUAUUUUAAUUUUUAUGGUAUUCGGUGCAUCGAAUUGAAUAUUGUGUUUGGUUGAUCGUUAUUGUGGA
Capsicum annuum is the source of this 1220-nucleotide long non-coding RNA. RefSeq lists it as uncharacterized. NCBI's taxonomy places the organism in Eukaryota, Viridiplantae, Streptophyta, Magnoliopsida, Solanales, Solanaceae. The record is from RefSeq and is a predicted model, not a curated record. The transcript has 2 exons.